GCAGUGGUAGUUCAGUGGUAGAAUUCUCACCUUCCAUAUGGGAGACCUGAGUUUGAAUCCCAGUCAAUGCA
RNAcentral lists this transfer RNA (71 nucleotides) under Loxodonta africana (African savanna elephant). It matches the Rfam family "tRNA". From Rfam's summary of the family: Transfer RNA (tRNA) molecules are approximately 80 nucleotides in length. Their secondary structure includes four short double-helical elements and three loops (D, anti-codon, and T loops). Further hydrogen bonds mediate the characteristic L-shaped molecular structure. tRNAs have two regions of fundamental functional importance: the anti-codon, which is responsible for specific mRNA codon recognition, and the 3' end, to which the tRNAs corresponding amino acid is attached (by aminoacyl-tRNA synthetases). tRNAs cope with the degeneracy of the genetic code in two manners: having more than one tRNA (with a specific anti-codon) for a particular amino acid; and 'wobble' base-pairing, i.e. permitting non-standard base-pairing at the 3rd anti-codon position. Lineage: Eukaryota; Metazoa; Chordata; Mammalia; Proboscidea; Elephantidae. The record is from Rfam by way of RNAcentral.